UUGCACAAUCUACAUUGGACCU
This 22-nucleotide microRNA is filed under the name Brachionus plicatilis. Its description in RNAcentral is "Bpl-Mir-12597_5p (mature (guide))". RNAcentral also lists the same sequence under 1 other name. Lineage: Eukaryota; Metazoa; Rotifera; Eurotatoria; Ploima; Brachionidae. The record is from RNAcentral.